UACAGAGGGUGCAAACGUUGUUCGGAAUUACUGGGCGUAAAGAGCGUGUAGGCGGUCAGGUAGGUCCGUUGUGAAAACUCGAGGCUCAACCUCGAGACGCCGAUGGAAACCAUCUGACUAGAGUCCGGAAGAGGAGAGUGGAAUUCCUGGUGUAGCGGUGAAAUGCGCAGAUAUCAGGAGGAACACUGGUGGCGAAGGCGCCACUCUGGGCCGAAACUGACGCUGAGGAGCGAAAGCGUGGGUAGCAAACAGG
This 253-nucleotide ribosomal RNA is filed under the name uncultured bacterium. RNAcentral's name for it is "partial 16S ribosomal RNA". It matches the Rfam family "Bacterial small subunit ribosomal RNA", at positions 524 to 776 of the family's 1533-position model. The record is from RNAcentral.